CCCGUUCUUGUGCGAUCACUGAAGUUAAGCAACGUCGAGCCUGGUCAUUACCUAAAUGGGUGACCUCUUAGGAAUACCAGGUGCUGUAAG
Molecule: non-coding RNA, 90 nt
Organism: Acanthosepion pharaonis
Lineage: Eukaryota; Metazoa; Mollusca; Cephalopoda; Sepiida; Sepiidae
Source: the annotation of a GenBank genome assembly